UUUAAAUUUUUAGCAACACGUAGCGAGUGGAGACAAAUUGACUCGUCUACAACAAAGAAGAUGUUUUGAUUUUGCCACCAAGAUUUAAAAAGUGCACAUGUGACAGGUAGAUGUCUCUGUAGACCGUUGUAGCGUCGUCUGCUUGGUAUGUUUUGUUGAGCACGUGUUCAUGUUCAUUUUUUGAGCUGCGUUUCUCGUAAAAAUUGUGUGUGAAGUGCUUCGAAAAGCCAUUUGGUGUGGGAAGAUAAAACAAAAUGAAUAUCUGAUUUCCGGUACAGAACAAUGGUGAAAAAUGAGAAAUAACGACUUCAGAGGGGGGUAAACCUUGUAUUGCUCAUACCACAUAUUAUUUCCCGAGUUUAGACUUUCUAUGAAGGUUAGAAGUGCUAUGAAGCUAUGUAGUUUAAACUUUCUACGACCAAAUGAUGAUGGUUCUUGGACAGAAUGACAGCUGUUAUACUUAAUACCCACAGCAAGUUAGUUUACUGUUGGGAAAUGGAGUAAAUACAGUGUUAACU
This is a long non-coding RNA of Daphnia pulex (common water flea), 518 nucleotides long. RefSeq lists it as uncharacterized. NCBI's taxonomy places the organism in Eukaryota, Metazoa, Arthropoda, Branchiopoda, Diplostraca, Daphniidae. The transcript is spliced from 3 exons. The record is from RefSeq and is a predicted model, not a curated record.